AGCGUGUUAGUCUAACUGGUAAAGAUCUGUGCUUCGGACACAUCAAUUGUAAGUUCAAAUCUUAUACGCGUUU
RNAcentral lists this transfer RNA (73 nucleotides) under Ricasolia amplissima. Its description in RNAcentral is "tRNA-Arg". It matches the Rfam family "tRNA". Rfam says of the family: Transfer RNA (tRNA) molecules are approximately 80 nucleotides in length. The record is from RNAcentral. Lineage: Eukaryota; Fungi; Ascomycota; Lecanoromycetes; Peltigerales; Lobariaceae.